This 488-nucleotide ribosomal RNA is filed under the name uncultured bacterium. RNAcentral's name for it is "bacterial SSU rRNA". It matches the Rfam family "Bacterial small subunit ribosomal RNA", at positions 15 to 518 of the family's 1533-position model. The record is from RNAcentral.
GAUUAUGGCUCAGGAUGAACGCUGGCGGCGUGCUUAACACAUGCAAGUCGAACGGAGUUUAAGGAGCUUGCUCUUAAACUUAGUGGCGGACGGGUGAGUAACGCGUGGGUAACCUGCCUUUCACUGGGGGAUAACAGUUAGAAAUGACUGCUAAUACCGCAUAAGCGCACAGUAAGGCAUCUUACAGUGUGAAAAACUCCGGUGGUAUACGAUGGACCCGCGUCUGAUUAGCCAGUUGGCAGGGUAACGGCCUACCAAAGCGACGAUCAGUAGCCGGCCUGAGAGGGUGAACGGCCACAUUGGGACUGAGACACGGCCCAAACUCCUACGGGAGGCAGCAGUGGGGAAUAUUGCACAAUGGGGGAAACCCUGAUGCAAGCGACGCCGCGUGAGUGAAGAAGCAUUUCGGUGCGUAAAGCUCUAUCAGCAGGGAAGAAAAUGACGGUACCUGACUAAGAAGCCCCGGCUAACUACGUGCCAGCCGCCGC